ACCCGCGUACAUGCCACCGGGGCAUCCCGGAGGCAGGAAAGGCUUCGGCCGGACAGGGAUGGGCAUGCGGCGCAUUAGGCAGUAGGCGGGGUAACGGCCCACCUAACCGACGAUGCGUAGGGGUUCUGAGAGGAAGGUCCCCCACACUGGUACUGAGACACGGACCAGACUCCUACGGGAGGCAGCAGUGAGGAAUAUUGGUCAAUGGUCGGGAGACUGAACCAGCCAAGCCGCGUGAGGGAUGAAGGUACAGAGUAUCGUAAACCUCUUUUGUCAGGGAACAAAGGCGGGGACGUGUCCCCGGAUGAGUGUACCUGAAGAAAAAGCAUCGGCUAACUCCGUGCCAGCAGCCGCGGUAAUACGGAGGAUGCGAGCGUUAUCCGGAUUUAUUGGGUUUAAAGGGUGCGCAGGCGGUCUGUUAAGUCAGCGGUCAAAGCCCGGGGCUCAACCCCGGCCCGCCGUUGAAACUGGCAGUCUCGAGUUGGAGAGAAGUAUGCGGAAUGCGCGGUGUAGCGGUGAAAUGCAUAGAUAUCGCACAGAACUCCGAUUGCGAAGGCAGCAUGCCGGCUCCACACUGACGCUGAGGCACAAAAGCGUGGGUAUCGAACAGGAUUAGAUACCCUGGUAGUCCACGCAGUAAACGAU
RNAcentral lists this ribosomal RNA (645 nucleotides) under uncultured bacterium. RNAcentral's name for it is "bacterial SSU rRNA". It matches the Rfam family "Bacterial small subunit ribosomal RNA", at positions 167 to 810 of the family's 1533-position model. The record is from RNAcentral.